CCGCAAUCUCCUGUCGUUUCUGUUCCAGGAUUUUCUGCUGCUCGUUUGUGUGAUCCACAAUAUUUUUCCCUCCCACCAGAAGCUUGCUUUCCAUUGCCUUGAUUUUAGCACUCAGCAUUUCUGUUGCUUCCUUCUCUCGCCUCAAGUCCUCCAUUUUCUUCUCCUUCUCUUUCAGCAGUCUCAUCUUUUCUUCGGCUACCAAGCUGUGAUCCUCAACAAUAGCUUUCUUUUCAAUCUCCAGCUUUUCUUGCUGCUCUCUCCAAUAGUCAUCUUUGUCAUCUCCUUCAUCCUCACCCUCUUCAGUAUCCUCCUCUUCCUCCCCACCCUCUCUCCUCCUUUCCCUCCUCUUUCUUUUGCCAAUAGACCGCUUUUCCAGCUGUGCCUUGAGUCGAGCAAUUUCUUCCUGGAAUUCACGCAGCAGAGCAUCCUUAGGAUCCUCAUUCACUCUUGGCUUGUUCUUGAUGUUUUUGGCACGAUUGGCGUAUCUCAGCGUCGU
This 496-nucleotide long non-coding RNA is filed under the name Gallus gallus (chicken). Lineage: Eukaryota; Metazoa; Chordata; Aves; Galliformes; Phasianidae. The record is from RNAcentral.